This 5525-nucleotide long non-coding RNA is filed under the name Strigops habroptila (Kakapo). RNAcentral describes it as "lncRNA (ENSSHBG00005013397.1)". The record is from RNAcentral. Lineage: Eukaryota; Metazoa; Chordata; Aves; Psittaciformes; Psittacidae.
AAAGUGACAACUGAUUUUAUUAACUGUAUUCAUUAUAACACAUAAUAUGACAGUGGGAAUAUUUUUCACUGUAAGAUUUUUGAAUGGAAGAAAAGUGCAGUUAGUCUGAGUUCCUUACAUUCAUUAGAAGCAAGACUAUUGAAACCAUCAACAUUUACAAUGACACAUAAGCAAACACCAGAAUUAGUGCCAAUAAAUACACAGAGUACCAAAAUAAAUAUUUACAGAAUUAAAAAUAUAAUAAACACUGAUUAGUAUAUCCUUGUGAACUGCCAGGGAAGAAAGACAUCUAUUGCUAUCAGUCAGGUUGUAAGUAGGUGAAGAAUACAGUGAUUUGAGAAGACACAUACUCAUCAAAGUUUGUAGAGGUGGAAAGGAGCAGAGUGUAUCUAACAGUCUGUUACAGAAACACCCCCCGCAGCACUAUGAGCUUUCACUAAAAGAAAGUUGGUGCACACAGACUCACCAGAUUAACAAACUGUUCAGGUAAGAAGAGCAGGGAGUUCUGGCUUUACUCACUCAUUAUCUUGAAUAGGUCAUAUGCUACCUUACUGGAGGUUGCUGACACAAAAAAAUAGGAGGGAAAAUUGUAAUUAACAGUGAUCUGUCAGCUGUAACACCUCUUACAGAAACAGGUUAAGUGACUUUUAAUAGGACACAUCUGUCCCUUUCAGCACACAGGAAACCCCAAGAGCAUUGUUCUGUCAGAGGCAGUGUGGAGCAGUCCCUGCUACAUUUUCCUCAAGCAUAUCAUGAUAUUUAAGCAGAGCUGGGCUGCAGUAAAAGACUGAAGCCAUGCCGUGUCUCCUGGACUUACUGAAUCUGUAUUUUCCACCAACCACAUCCAUUCCUCCUCCCGCAUUUCACAGGGGUACAAGCCUCAACACUAGAGCUUUUCUGAGACAGUCUCGGCUGACAAACACAGCAAGGAAAAUUCAGAUGGGGCCAAAUCAUGGGAUCUUCACUUAAUAACAAUCAACACCACUAAUAGGUCCACUGAUUUCCAAGGGAAUACUGGUGGACUGAAAUAUUGCUCAGCUGUUGAAAUCUGCCCCAUGGCAGAGGAUUUUUACACAAUUUCAAUUUUACACAAAGGCAAUGGCUUUAGUCUUGCUCCUUCUUUUGAAAAGCAGGAGAACAUUGAUUUUAUCAAGACACAUGCUGCAGAAAGUUACUUGCACUCUACCUAGGACUUGGCGGUGCUACUGCACAGUGCAUCUUAUACUCUAUCUCUACUUGUCCUUGGGCUGCAAAGGUGCAGCCAGUGCCCAGCACCCUGCCAAGGGCUUGGGUCUUCGCAUCCCUCUGGCAAAAUGAGGAUGGAAGAGCACUGAGAGGCCAUGGGUCAGUGCUGGACUACGGUGGAUUUGUGGAAGCCUCUGUGCUACAACUACGUUCAGAAGUGAAGGCACUGGGCACUGCUCAGUCACAUUGAAGUCCACCAGCAGAAGAACUGGCUUCAGUACAUGCAGACUCACAUAGUCUGGCUCCUAACUUAGUGUAACACAGUAAUAUUAGCAUCAAUGCAAGAAAAAAAGAGCCAGAUUUUAUAGGCAUAUGUUUAACUCUCUUUCUCCACAGGACCAGCAGUCCAGCCCUUGCUUUCAUCCCAUCUCCCAGCCAGCCUAUCAACCUUCCCACCCCAGCACAGCACCACCACCCUGGCUUCCCCUGCUGCUGUCCCACCUGGCAGAUACCAUAUUGUCCCAGUGACACUGCCUUGCUCCCCCAGUCCAUGGCGUGCAGGUGAGUUGGGGCAGACCUUCUUCCCCUUUGCUGCCACCAGCCAAGAAACAUCACCAGAUGUGUAGCUUUUACAUUUUAAGGUCAGGCUUAAUUCAAAGCAGAUGCAGCAAGUUUUCUUUUAUGAGCACAUUAUGUUCAAAGCUUCCAAUGCAUCUGCAGAAAAAGCCCAUGGAAACAACCUGAUACUGAAAUAGCAACUGUUCUGAUGGAAUAUCAUCCAAAAUAAUAAAAUCCUGUUAAAAAUUUUACCAUUCAGUCCCUACAUACUGUUCUCCCUAAAACCAGAUUUAAAAUGUGGCUAUGUAAUAAUUAAAGGGAGGCAUCAUUAGCUACCAUAUCGAAAGACAUGAACAACAACAUAAUAAGCAGGGGGGUUAGCGCUCUGGGAAGGAUCUGGUCCUGGUUUUGCCAUCACAAGUUAAGUUAAGGAAGCAGUGAUUGUGUUAGCUGUAGUUUAAACAUGCUGAGCACUGGAGUUAUGUGCAGGAGUGGCUGCUUUUUAGAUGGAAAAACAAUGGAAAGACAUGUUUUGCAUUCAGAUCAGUGAAAAUACUAUUCUAGUAAUAUAAAAGACUGCACAAUCACCUGAAUAAUGUUCAUCUUUAAAAAAAAGGAAGACUUAAGAAAUACUUCCUAUUUCCUUAAGGUGAAGGGAUUAAGGACCUUCGCCAGUUCUUACUGGAGUCAGUGGAAGCUCUGCUGCAGCAGAACAGGACCUUGGAAAGAGAUUGUCAUGUUGGCAAAUGCCAGUUUUCUAAUUUUGCAGCCAGCCAUAGCUGGAUUAGCUUCUAUUGCAGAGCAUUGCUUAGAUGUGAUGUUAAAGUAGGCAAAGCAAUCUUCUUUUAGCCAUUGCUACAAGAAGCCUUUCAGCCUGGCAGUUUAAACUCCUUGCCCUGUGAAGUACAUAACCAACUUUGGUUCUAGUUAUUUAAAUACGUACAGAAAGGAAAAAGAAAAGCAGUUCUUAACAAAGAUAAAGAAAAUCUGGGCACAGUUUCCAUAACAAACAGCAUCUGAGCUUUCCUACAAGAGUGAUAUGCUUCCCUGCUAGUUUUGCUAAACUGUCCACAACAGGAAAGUGGAGAGAUAUAAUCCACUCUAUGCAAAAUAUCACUCAACAUCCUCAUCUGCAUGUAUGAGACCACAGAGCAGAGAUCUCCAUUUUAAAUAUCUUAGCAGCUUGUUCUGAAGGUGAAUUAAUUUUUUCAAGACCAAGAAGCAGAAGCAAGGACCUCCUGAAGAACACACUGGCAGCAGCUCCUUUAUUUUAGUGCUGGAAGGCUAGAUCAAAAAUCUCAGUUUCCCAAGCAACUGCAGUAUGGCUGAGAGGGAAUGAGAGACAGAGAGGGAAAAAAAAAGGGGGGUCCCAGGCUACAGUACUCACUGUUUUGGAUAGAGAAGCCCUCUAAGGCGAGAAGAACUUUAACAACCUGCUUUUGCAGGAAUAAAGGCCCCCAGGACGUGGCUUGAGUGUUUAUAGCUCUUAUUCCUUUGCAUAUGAUAAGUUCUUCCAUUUCUCUCUAUGUGAAAUGGACCUAGAAAACACCAAAUGAAUGCUGACCAUUCCUAGCCAAGAUGCUCAGAAGGAAGACAAGAUGUGAGCUCAUGAUGAGCUAAAAAUUCCUGUGAGCCAAAUUAAAAAUGAACUGUCCCCUGAACACAAACAGCAAGACAGAUUCAGAUACCUCCCACUCACAGUGAACAGCACCGGGACUCGUGACAAGGAAAUCCAACCCCUCAAGGGAAGAGAGGGAUGGUCAGUGGGAACCAGUCCCAGGCCACUGAAGACAACUGACAGAUGCAUUGAAUCUCAGACGAGUCAGUUGUUGUGCAAUUCUGCUUGGACACGUGGGGUUAUAUCAUCGUGAUGAAAACAUCAACAAGGCAAAGGCAAAAAAAAAAGGGAAAAGCCAAAACAAUAACAAAAAAACCAACCCUGCAAAAGCUGUCACGUGUAAACUCUGCCAAGACUCAUCUCUGCAUCUCUCUGAGUCGGUGUCAAUUUGUUCUUCCGAGACAGAAGCCUCAGCCUUUCAUAUCAAUAACUGUGAAAAUACAUUUUCAGGCCACCUUGCUUAGAGUCCCCCAUUGUGGCUGUUAGAUAACCAUCUGCCUUGCAAGUGGCUAUUGUUACUGUGAACUGUCUCUUUCAUACCAUUAUCGUGCUGAAAAGGCCUUUCUGAAAGUAGUCCAUUAGAGCAGGAAAAAAAAACAACUCAGAGUAUGGUCAUGUAGCAGAAUCAAUGGUUCCCUUUGAUCUGCAGGCUCAGUACUACAAAUUUGAGAAACAACAAGGUUUUGCUUUGCUAAGCAAAGCCUGUUAAUUUGGCUCAUCUGCACUUACAGCAUCUUACUGAAAAUGCCAUCUGUAUCAUACGUUUUGAAGACUUUGGUGCAAUAUUCGCUUAGCUUAGAUAAAUAAUUCAGUUAGACUCAUUAAAAAAUAAUCAGUGAAUUAAUUUUCAUAGUGUAUAUCUAUGCAUGUAAAUUUUAAAAUUCAGUCCUCUACUACCCUGAAUGGUGGUGAGGAUAUUCACAGUGGAUGAAGGGAAUGCUGGUGAUUGAUGGAACAAGACUGAACAUAGUUUUCUUAUCCUAAUCAUGGAAUUUCUUCUGAAAGCUACUAUGUGUGUUUGAGUCCUAUUACUGGCAAGAGCAAAAUGCAUAUGCACCACAGGGAAAAUAAGACCCUUUAUGUCUGUUGCAGGCCACACAUAUAGUACAGGAAACUUAACUUCUAUCAUGACAAAAGAAGUCCACAAAAACAUCACUUCAUGCAAUUGAAAGGAAAUCUUUUGUGCUGAUAUAUAGAACAGGAAUGUAUACCACUGAAAUCACUGUAGAUAGCUAUAAAACACUACGCAAUAUAUAGAAAAAAACCCUAAGAACAUACAAAGUUUACCAGUAGUGACCUGAAAGUGCAAAGAGUACAUAUAACUAAAUGCCAAGUCCUGAUCUAUAAAAUCCUUUAUCAAUGACAUACAAGCUGAUAAUUACAAAGCAUCAUUGAGACCACAAAAUAACAAACAAAACAAAGAAAAGUACUCUUUAAGAGAAUCAAAACAACAACAGCAUUGGGAAUGUUAUCUUUGGGACUCAGAACACCAUUUCUACCUUGAUACCUACCAAAGGCAAGGAAAAUAUAUGCUUGAACAGGAUAACAUAAAUAGGAAUGCAAACAACCACAGAAUGCCUCAGGACUAUUACCUCUUUAUGUUUCAGCCUUUAAAUCCAGCAAGCCAUUAACUGUUUGUUCUUAGGCAUCUCACAGUAUUUUGCAGGGAUCUUGCAGGAAUUAAAUAUAGGUCUAAAGGAAGCCUUUGAACCUCCUCCCAAUGAUUGUUUUAGGCAUUGUGUGGAGCUAUACAAAUAUAUUUGUAUGAAAAUUGUAAGCCCUAGUAAAUAUUAAAUUUUCUAUCACCUUUUGAAAUAAAAAACACAGAUGGCUUAAAGACAAAAGUGAGUUUUAUAAAUACAAAGUUAAUUUGAGCAUUAAAUUGUAUUUUUACUCUCACACAACCAUUACCCUGAAUCAACGUCAGUAUGUCGCAACGAUUCAUAACACUGACGCCUUACUACAAGCUACUUUCCCAUUCUCCUUUUAAGGAUAUGAUUGUCCUUAAAAUAUAUACAUAGCAAGCAGCCGAACGAACCGCCAAGAGACCUGCAAAGUGUACUUACAUUGGGUAUGCCAUAGAAAGCCUGGGAGUGGGACUGGAGAGUACCUGGCUUGGGCAAGCAUCAAGGCCGCCCUCCCACCCUGCGCUCCCAGCCAGCCC